RNAcentral lists this ribosomal RNA (254 nucleotides) under uncultured bacterium. RNAcentral describes it as "partial 16S ribosomal RNA". It matches the Rfam family "Bacterial small subunit ribosomal RNA", at positions 524 to 776 of the family's 1533-position model. The record is from RNAcentral.
UACGUAGGGCGCAAGCGUUGUCCGGAAUCAUUGGGCGUAAAGAGCGUGUAGGCGGCUUGGUAAGUCCGCUGUGAAAGUCCAGGGCUCAACCCUGGAAUGCCGGUGGAAACUGCCAAGCUAGAGUCCGGAAGAGGCGAGUGGAAUUCCUGGUGUAGCGGUGAAAUGCGCAGAUAUCAGGAGGAACACCAAUGGCGAAGGCAGCUCGCUGGGACGUUACUGACGCUGGAGACGCGAAAGCGUGGGGAGCAAACAGG